UAUUGUUAGUUGCCAUCAUUCAGUUGGGCACUCUAGCGAGACUGCCGGUAAUAAACCGGAGGAAGGUGGGGAUGACGUCAAAUCAUCAUGCCCCUUAUGACCUGGGCUACACACGUGCUACAAUGGCUGGUACAACGAGUCGCAAGCCGGUGACGGCAAGCUAAUCUCUUAAAGCCAGUCUCAGUUCGGAUUGUAGGCUGCAACUCGCCUACAUGAAGUCGGAAUCGCUAGUAAUCGCGGAUCAGCACGCCGCGGUGAAUACGUUCCCGGGCCUUGUACACACCGCCCGUCACACCACGAGAGUUUGUAACACCCGAAGUCGGUGAGGUAACCGUAAGGAGCCAGCCGCCUAAGGUGGGAUAGAUGAUUGGGGUGAAGUCGUAACAAGGUAACCAAUCGAAUUCCCGCGGCC
Molecule: ribosomal RNA, 412 nt
Filed under: uncultured Streptococcus sp.
Lineage: Bacteria; Bacillati; Bacillota; Bacilli; Lactobacillales; Streptococcaceae
Description: bacterial SSU rRNA
Rfam family: Bacterial small subunit ribosomal RNA
Source: RNAcentral